AAGUAAUGUCAAAAACGAAAGUACGAUUGAUAUUUAAAUGCAUUAUUUGUCUAUUUCCGGGAAAUUGUUUUAGUACGUUAAUGCUGCAUUAACAAAUAUAAGUGUAUAUGAAGUGAAGCUUCCAGAGGAAAUCGUCUUCCCCUUGAAGACUGUGGGUGACUUUGAGGCAGUGGAGACAAGAUUGGAUGAUGAAACAACCUCUUCCUCUGUUGUGAAAUAUAUAGCUGACCUUGGUGGCCGAGAUGUAUAGGACACUGUUUGCCACACCAUGCUAACUUUCAUUGACAACUGCCUAGCAAGCAAUUUAAUUUCAGGAGCCUAAAGGGAAAAGAAAGUUUGAGGGUCUAAACAUCACAGGCAUAAUUUUUCGUUGUCUGCGCAUGCAUCCAGUAAGUAGGCAAGCAAACCUGAAAGACAUGGAGGCUGCUGUAACGAAGUGGCUUGGAGGGGCGAGGGGCAGGAACGGCGGACGGAAAUCCAGAGACACUUUGAGGGGCCUGCUCUUGCAACGCCUCCUCCUGGAUCGCCUUCCAGCACACCAGAAAAUCCAUUAAAUUUUCCUGUUGACCAUUAUUUUGAAUUAAAACAUAUUGUAGAUUAUGUAUGAAUAUGGUGUGUAUUUAGUUUUUUUUUAACAAAGUGCAUAAUACGGCUAAUUUUAUUCAUCUUUUAAACUUGUUCUUUACAUUUCAUAGUCCGUAAAUUGGAAUGUAUUUUAUUUUUCCAAACUGCAUAAUUAAAUAAGGUUUUUAAAUUAUGUUUAUUUUUUCCACGAUUCCUAGUUAGUAUUUCUUAAGGUUCUAGUCAGCAUUAUUUGGCAAGCAUUUAACUAUUUUAUUGAAUGUAGUGCUUUUGGGGAAACAUGUUUUGUUUUACAUUGUUGUCUUUGCAGGUUAAUAUUUAAUUAUUUAAACAGUUUCAGUAGCUUUUUGUGCAUGUUUUAUAAGUGACGUUUUGCUAACCUGAGAGUUACUGAAGUUUUAAUGACAAAAGUGAGUCUAUUUUUUGUGAGUAGUACUUUUAUUGUAUACAGCAGCAUUUUACGGAUUCUGGUUAUUUGCUUGCAUAUUUGUUGCUGACUCAUCGUUUAUCAUGAUUUGAUGAUUUCAUUCUGAUUUGUAUGUUCUUUUUUAUGCAUGUUUAUGUGUGUACAUAUUUUAAGGCAGUAGGUAAUCAGAAUUUUAGUGUGACAAUAUCUAAGGCGAAUUUGAAUCUUGGUUAACAAACUGGAUCACCAUAGAAAAUCUUCAUAAACUUUGUUUAAAGUCUAGAAAGUCAUAAAAUUAAAAACCUGUUUAAUUUUUUAGUGAAAAAAAACUCUUUUGGACUUAUUUGUUAGCAACCCAAUGUAUAUGUCGUAUAGACUGAUAUAGGAAAAACUUGUAACAUAGUUGUGAGCAAAAUUAGAUUUAAAGGUCUAAUUUUAUCAUAUGAGUUGGCAACCAUUGUCUGAACACUUAUUCUCAACAUUGGUCGUCUUAUUUAUAUAGAGCUAAUUGAACUGUUAGUAGUAAAAGUCAUUUCAUUAUAGACUCAAUUAAAUACAUAUACAUUUAAGGCUUCGAUCAUGUACAUUUGUGUGAGCGGUUUAAAACAUAUAAAGACGGUCAAAAUUUAUGUGUAUCUUUUACUGUUUGAUGUCUGCAUGUACGUUUACCAUGUGUUUGUUACAUUGUAUUUUGUGAGAUACUUCUGAUAAAAAAGUUAGUUCAUUCUUACUGUAAGUGGUGUAUAUGCAACUGUAAGUGUCGUAUAUGCACUGACCUUGUGUGCACAAAUUGUUGCAGUGACUCAUAGCUGUGAUGUUCGAAUCAGAACUUUCACAGAUCUGCUUGUAACCAUUUGUUACGUUAAUUGUUUUUUUACUUAUUUAAUAUUAAAACAAAUUAUUA
Molecule: long non-coding RNA, 1892 nt
Organism: Dreissena polymorpha
Lineage: Eukaryota; Metazoa; Mollusca; Bivalvia; Myida; Dreissenidae
Exons: 3
Source: RefSeq, a predicted model, not a curated record